This 398-nucleotide long non-coding RNA is filed under the name Salvia miltiorrhiza (redroot sage). RNAcentral describes it as "long non-coding RNA (SMIL_LNC009466)". Lineage: Eukaryota; Viridiplantae; Streptophyta; Magnoliopsida; Lamiales; Lamiaceae. The record is from RNAcentral.
AUAGAUCUAAGCCCUUAAAACCGCUUAAUCGUUCGGUUAAAAAUAAAUCUGCUGCCCAGUUUUAAUUACCACAAUUAUUGUUCAAAAUUACAUUUUAAAUAGCAUAAGGGUAUUUCGGUAACUGUGCAACUUAGUAAAAACGGCAACCACCGGAUUUUACUCCCAUUUACCUCAUUUCAUCUCCCCCACCCCAUUUUACUCCCAAUAUACCAUACAAUCGGUAACUUCUCUCUUCCCCUGCCUGUUCUUGCUUCCGAUGGCUGUCCAAUGUCCAUAUCAGGGCGCGCGUCGCUGCGAUCGGCGAUGAUACUCUGCGCGGCGGGUUUCCAGGUUUUUCGACAAGAAUUAGUUUCCAUUUACAGAUUUUCGACCAUCUCUUCUAUUUUCGAUUGUUCAUU